UCUCUUGCCUCAGCCUCCUGAGUAGCUGGGAUUACAGAUCUCAGCAGCCUGGAGGUGAAUGAGGUGUACGUGUCACAUUUGGAGCCAUGGCAACCAUCCUGUGACCAUGAGGACACAAGUCUAAAGGGAAAGGAGGUUAGAUAAAGCUAGAUUUCCAUCUGAAAAGGGAGAUGGAGGGGAAAUAUGGACAAUAACACAUGAAGUGAGAGUCAGAAAAAAAAUCUGCACAUACAAAUAGAUAUAUAUGGAAGCAUCUCAUAAUGUUAUCGUGGUUCUUUAUGAAGAAUGAAGUUGCAGGACAGCUUCAAUGUCUGGAUGCUGCACAGAACACUUUCCUUUCCACUCUUUUGGGAGUCCACCUACUUAUUUUCAGGUCAUCUCUGCAGGCCUCCAUCCUGCCUGUAGCCUGAUGGAGAUCUGGAUUCCCAUUCCGUCAGAGAAAAGGACAUUCCUUUCCUUGGGUGUAGGAAGCACAUCUCUGGAAUGAAGUUUUUCUUCGGUGGAAGGUCAAAUCGUUCUCUUAAGACCGUCUUCAGGGGAGAAGAGUGAGGAGAAGCCUCUGACUUCUGAGAGGAGUCCAGCAGUUUCCAGGGAAGCCAGUUCCAUAUCUGUCUCCAGGGGUGGAGCACAGCCCUGUGUUCAGCGCAUCAGCCCUG
Cebus imitator (Panamanian white-faced capuchin) is the source of this 656-nucleotide long non-coding RNA. RefSeq lists it as uncharacterized. The record is from RefSeq and is a predicted model, not a curated record. The transcript has 6 exons. NCBI's taxonomy places the organism in Eukaryota, Metazoa, Chordata, Mammalia, Primates, Cebidae.